AGUGAACGCUGGCGGUAGGCCUAACACAUGCAAGUCGAACGGCAGCACAGUAAGAGCUUGCUCUUACGGGUGGCGAGUGGCGGACGGGUGAGGAAUACAUCGGAAUCUACUUUUUCGUGGGGGAUAACGUAGGGAAACUUACGCUAAUACCGCAUACGACCUACGGGUGAAAGCAGGGGAUCUUCGGACCUUGCGCGAUUGAAUGAGCCGAUGUCGGAUUAGCUAGUUGGGGGUAAAGGCCCACCAAGGCGACGAUCCGUAGCUGGUCUGAGAGGAUGAUCAGCCACACUGGAACUGGGACACGGUCCAGACUCCUACGGGAGGCAGCAGUGGGGAAUAUUGGACAAUGGGCGCAAGCCUGAUCCAGCCAUACCGCGUGGGUGAAGAAGGCCUUCGGGUUGUAAAGCCCUUUUGUUGGGAAAGAAAAGCAGCAGGUUAAUACCCCUCUGUUCUGACGGUACCCAAAGAAUAAGCACCGGCUAACUUCGUG
RNAcentral lists this ribosomal RNA (490 nucleotides) under uncultured bacterium. RNAcentral's name for it is "partial 16S ribosomal RNA". It matches the Rfam family "Bacterial small subunit ribosomal RNA", at positions 29 to 507 of the family's 1533-position model. The record is from RNAcentral.